This 264-nucleotide ribosomal RNA is filed under the name uncultured Atopobium sp. Its description in RNAcentral is "partial 16S ribosomal RNA". It matches the Rfam family "Bacterial small subunit ribosomal RNA", at positions 91 to 356 of the family's 1533-position model. The record is from RNAcentral. Lineage: Bacteria; Bacillati; Actinomycetota; Coriobacteriia; Coriobacteriales; Atopobiaceae.
UAAAGUGGCGAACGGCUGAGUAACACGUGGGCAACCUGCCCUUUGCACUGGGAUAGCCUCGGGAAACCGAGGUUAAUACCGGAUACUCCAUAUUUGUCGCAUGGCGAAUAUGGGAAAGCUCCGGCGGCAAAGGAUGGGCCCGCGGCCUGUUAGCUAGUUGGUGGGGUAGUGGCCUACCAAGGCAAUGAUGGGUAGCCGGGUUGAGAGACCGACCGGCCAGAUUGGACUGAGACACGGCCCAGACUCCUACGGGAGGCAGCAGUG